Molecule: long non-coding RNA, 1331 nt
Filed under: Equus asinus (donkey)
Lineage: Eukaryota; Metazoa; Chordata; Mammalia; Perissodactyla; Equidae
Description: lncRNA (ENSEASG00005028699.1)
Source: RNAcentral
AAAAAUAGCAUUUUUCCAGGAAAAAUAUUUAUCAAGAAUUUUUUGAUCACCUAUUGUAAGAGAGAUAUUAUUCCAGUUCUGAGCGGCAUUGCGAGGAUUAAAUGGAGUGAAGCACGUAAAGGAUUUAGUACACUGCUUGCUGCAGAAUAAGAGCUUAGAGGACAUGGAGAGGAAGGAGCCAGCACAAGAGCACACAAGCAACGCUAUCCAUCUGUCUUCUUUUCUGUACAGGCUGAGGGCUCCUCAAGAACUGCCCUAAGCGCUUUAUAUGUUUAGCUCCCUUAAUCCUCAUAACAGUUUUGACUUUUCCAGAAUGUCAUAUAGUUGGAGUCAUACAACUAUAAAUCUGCACACGUCUAACAAGCUCUCCAGUGAUGCCAAUGCUGCUCAUCUGAGGACCACACUUUGAGCACCAAAGAGCUAGAGUUUUCGCUUCUGCCUACCCCUACUUCCAAGGGAGCCAACAGACUCUGAGGCCUGUGUUCACUCCUUCUCUAGCAGAGCCAACAGACCCAGGUGGAGAAAAUCUACAUGCAACAAGAUUCAUAAGGAACUAGAAGAGAGGGGAAGUGCCUUUUCAGAAUACGGAGGGAAGUGGUGACACCAGUAGGAUGAAGGGAUAAAAGAGGAGAGGACUGUAGGCAUUGCUGGAGAGAAUGGAGAGAAUGUAGGACAGCAGGCAGGGCUCUGUGCUUGGCAUCCUUUCUCCAGAGGCCCCGGUGGGAAGGAGGUCUUCCUCCUUCAAGUAGUGCAAAGGAAUGAAGUAGUUGCAUUGGAGGUUACAGGGGUACUAGGUGGCAUGCCCUUUUAAGACCAUGUGUCCUUGAGGCUCCUUGUCUAGGCUACGUGCCAACACUCAUGAUGAUAACACAUGAUAAUAAUCCUGGGCUUGGUUAACCCAGCUGUUUUUGAAUGGGUGAGUUAGCACAAAGUCCCUCAUGGUCUGAGGGAACACGGAAGCCCUUGGGGAGGCGGGGGGCUCUGGUCCUUGGAAUGCAGGUCAUAUAGGGACAGUCCCCCUUGGUAAGCACACAGCCUUUGUUCCUUUGCCUACUUAAGCAAGCAUCUCUCAGGGAGCAGUAGCAGGUGCACAUCUCGGGUCCACUGGACUUUCCCUGUAAGUAACUCCCCGAUAAAAACUUAUGUCUCGUUCACCAUCUCUGGGUCUUUUCUUUGGUCUCUUGGCAACCUGUCCUGCACUGCUCACCUAGCUGGGCAUGUAGCAGAACAGAGGCUCGGUGACCAGUCUUAUGUCCCCCACUUCCUAGUCCUUUGUAAUUGGCACUUUUCACUUGAAAUCUUGAAUGAAGAACUACUUAAACCAUUCUUAG